RNAcentral lists this ribosomal RNA (501 nucleotides) under uncultured bacterium. RNAcentral describes it as "partial 16S ribosomal RNA". It matches the Rfam family "Bacterial small subunit ribosomal RNA", at positions 30 to 523 of the family's 1533-position model. The record is from RNAcentral.
AUUGAACGCUGGCGGCAGGCUUAACACAUGCAAGUCGAGCGGGGGAAGGUAGCUUGCUACCGGACCUAGCGGCGGACGGGUGAGUAAUGCUUAGGAAUCUGCCUAUUAGUGGGGGACAACAUCUCGAAAGGGAUGCUAAUACCGCAUACGUCCUACGGGAGAAAGCAGGGGAUCUUCGGACCUUGCGCUAAUAGGUGAGCCUAAGUCGGAUUAGCUAGUUGGUGGGGUAAAGGCCUACCAAGGCGACGAUCUGUAGCGGGUCUGAGAGGAUGAUCCGCCACACUGGGACUGAGAAACGGCCCAGACUCCUACGGGAGGCAGCAGUGGGGAAUAUUGGACAAUGGGGGGAACCCUGAUCCAGCCAUGCCGCGUGUGUGAAGAAGGCCUUAUGGUUGUAAAGCACUUUAAGCGAGGAGGAGGCUACCCUAGUUAAUACCUAGGGAUAGUGGACGUUACUCGCAGGAUAAGCACCGGCUAACUCUGUGCCAGCCGCCGCGGUAA